CCAGAACUCCUCCGGAAGUUGAGCUUGAGAAAGUCGACUAGUUGAUGGGCAGCGUUGACACAGCUAGAUUUCUUGAGGAAGCCAAAUUGGUCGCUGACAAAAAAUCCAAUAUCAUUCAGGUAUCCAGUAAGUUGUGCAGCCAAGAGGUAUUCGAAAAUCUUUGACAAAGCUGACAAGAUGGUCAGUCCACGGAAAUUCUCAAUAUCGCAAUCGCCAGAUUUGUGAAUUAGCUUAAGACGUCCUUUCAAUAAUGCAUCCGGAAAGAACGCUUGGUCUUCAAAAUUUUGA
Bradysia coprophila is the source of this 288-nucleotide long non-coding RNA. NCBI's taxonomy places the organism in Eukaryota, Metazoa, Arthropoda, Insecta, Diptera, Sciaridae. The record is from RefSeq and is a predicted model, not a curated record.